UGACGGGUUACGUCAAUCAUCUUGCAAAAUGUAAACAAUGAAAGAAUCCCGGAAUUUUCACCAUUAAAAAUAAUGAAAUUUCCCUAAGAUUACAUAAAAUAAUUGGAAAAACCUAAAGAUAUAAUUCACGAAGUAUCGUAAUGUGAUCGCAGACAUAAUAAGCAAGUCAGAAUGAUCGGACGUGGAAAGCUAAUUGCUGGAAUUGGAAUAUAGUACGCAGAAAAAGGAAGGAAGAGUUGGCCUACCGCUCUGGAUGAAGAGAAAAAAAAAGAAAAGGGGCACCUGGCUGAUAAGCCACCCAAAAAUAUGGAGAACUAUUUACAAGAUGAAUACACACAUACACUUGAUGAAAAUGAAGACGUGGAGAAUGAGGAUUGAUGAAGGAUGGGCGAGCUUGAGGAAGGGGAAGGGGAGAAGAAGGAGCCGAGUAGAAGGCUGAAGAAAGAAAAAUAUGAUUAGUAACAAAGUUAAAGAACUAUAAAAAAUACAAGUUAUAAAUAAAUAAAAGUGAUAAAAAGAGAGUCUCGCCUAAGUUAUUUAGUUUUUAGAUGCUAAGUGCCAUAUUGACUAAUAGAGUAAAAGAGAGUAGGAAAAAUUUAGAUUAAGAAAAUUAUGCCGAAAGAUUAAAAAUUUAUAGACGCGGAUGGUGUC
Cydia splendana is the source of this 651-nucleotide long non-coding RNA. RefSeq lists it as uncharacterized. The record is from RefSeq and is a predicted model, not a curated record. The transcript is spliced from 3 exons. NCBI's taxonomy places the organism in Eukaryota, Metazoa, Arthropoda, Insecta, Lepidoptera, Tortricidae.